Molecule: long non-coding RNA, 2432 nt
Filed under: Anthonomus grandis grandis
Lineage: Eukaryota; Metazoa; Arthropoda; Insecta; Coleoptera; Curculionidae
Description: uncharacterized LOC126740347
Source: RNAcentral
CCCGACUCACCUAAGUACACCUGAUAGUUUUUGAUUUUUUUUUUAUUACCUUAUGGCUUUUCACAGACAAGACCUAAAGGUUUCAAACUGGUCCCCACGGACCAAAAGUAUAGGAGCGAAGCGACUAUACUUGUUAUAUAGGAGCGUCUGCGACUAUAUUAUGCACGCCACCUCGGGUCCGAAAAAUCGUGUUUUUUUGGAAAUAAAAAUUCAUAUCUUUGGCUGUAUGGUUAGCGAAACGAUGAAAUUUGGCAUAGGGUCUCUCAAUACAUUGAGAAUGAUGGAUCCGUAAACGAUUUUUUUUUCCGGUACCACCAAACGGAGCGGUACUGUCUCAAAGUCAAAAAUUCGUAAAAAAACGGGUCAAAUUCCUUUCAGACGCGAGAACUCAAAUAAAAAGCCUUUAAAAAACUUUAAAUUUUUGGGACAUAAGGGUCGGUGGGGGCUUAAGAACUGUAUACUUUUUGGGCCAGAUCGGUAUACAGGGUGAGUUGUUAUAAGCGAACAAAAGUGACUAAAAAAAAAAUUCAAACUUCUCCAGAGGCUAAAAAAAAAUUUUUAUAAAAAAAGUGUUUCGGCGAAAAGACUUCAUUUUAUAAGAGAUUUGACAUACUUGGAGCUUUUUUUUGUAAAAAAAUUAUUUUACGAGUUCUGGCAUUUUCAGUUUUUUGGAAUUUUCCGCCAAACGAUACUUAUUUUGAGAAAAUUUUUUUUUUCAAAAAAUAACUUCAUCUUUUACCUUUCAUAUGCCAUAUAACCGAAAUUUUUGGGAACCAUACAGGGCGAGCAAUAAUGUACUUUACCCAUGAAGGUCCGACCCGAAAAUCACAUUUUAUUUAAUAACUUUUUAGUGGUGGCACCUGGACCAUUUAUAUUCUCAGGGAUUAAAUACUUUAAUAACCCCAUUAUUUGUGUAAAAUUACAAUCUUCCAACAUUAAUAGGUUCUGAGCAAUUCGAAUUUUCGCGUUUAAUUCAUUUGCCACGUCCCUGUACAUGGUGAAAAGAUCAAACAACAUCUAAAGGAUCCGAAAUUUUGUUUUACAACACAUACUAAAAUUUCAGGGUUCCAGCGAUAGUACAAGUACCCGAAAAAUGCGAUUUUAUGAAAAAAGUCCAUUUUUUUGCGUUUUUGCAGGUAAUUGGAGGUGUCAACCUAAACUCUGAUGAAAUGGCUGGUGGGAACAAUACUUUGACGCAUGGUGGAUACAAAUUUUUUGCUCGUGACAGGUGGCCGGGACUUGGUUGGGUUUUUUGUAAAAUUAUGAAUGAAAAUGAACCGGAAACGAUCAGGGAAAGGAAGCACCGAAUCAGAAAAUGAAUGGGCUUUCCGAAUCUGUGCAUAUCAAUAGGGGAAAUUGUGUAUUGCGGCCAGGAAAAUUCGACAAACAUUUUGACGUCUUCGAAAAAUGCCGUUUUUUUGAAAUGUCAGUGUCUUUAUACCGGGGUGAGACGAAAUGAAAUUUGCCCGAUUAUUUUAUUAAAAUUAUUCGAAUAUAUACACGGGUCAGUCGUAAUGAUCUACUUAAUUUAAAAUAAGAAUUUAGAUAUUAGGUGAGUUUUUACUAUUUAGUUUAUUAUUAAUAAAUGUUAACAAUUCUUAAACAUUGCUUUUGGGAUAUAAAUAAAAAUUUUUUGAAAUUAUUGAUUUUUAAGGUUAGUCGAGUAUCAUAACUUUUUUGGUAUUGGUGCGAUUUGGUUGAAAUUUGGUACCUAGUACCUAUUUCGGAUAAGAUUAAUAAAUUUUUACAGAUAUUUGACAUGACUAUGUUUUAAGGUCACGUGAUUAUCAAAACUUUCUUCCUAUUUGUCCGAUUUGAUUGAAAUUUGGUAUUUGGGGUUUAUUUAGGAUGCAAUUAUUAAUUUUUCACAGAUAUUUGACAUUUGACUUCCAGGUCACGUGACUAUUGUAACUUUUUUGCUAUUGGUCUGAUUGGGUUCAAAUUUGGUAUUUGGGCUUUAUUUAAAAUGCAAUUAUUAAUUUUUGACAGAUAUUUGACAUUUGACUUCCGGGUCACGUGACUAUUGUAACUUUUUUGCUAUGAGUCCGAUUGGGUUCAAAUUUGGUAUUUAUGCUUUAUUUAGGAUACAAUUAAUAAAUUUUAACAGAUAAUUGACAAAUUAUAUUUUAAAGUCACGUGACUUUCAUAAUUCUUUUGCUAUUGAUCCGAUUGGGUUGAAAUUUAGUAUUUGAGCUUUAUUUAGGAUGCCAGUAAUACAUUUUGACAGAAAUUUGACAGAUUGAAUUUUAAAGUCACGUGACUUCCAUAACUUUUUUGCUAUUGAUCCGAUUGGGUUCAAAUUUGGAAUUUGGGGUUUAUUUAGGAUGCAAUUGUUGAUUUUUUACAAAAUUUUAAAAUAUUGAGUUCUAGGGUCACGUGACUAUCAAAAUUUCCUAUUUGAUUGAAAUUGGCUAUUAAAUGAUAUGUAUAUA